This 283-nucleotide ribosomal RNA is filed under the name uncultured prokaryote. Its description in RNAcentral is "partial 16S ribosomal RNA". It matches the Rfam family "Bacterial small subunit ribosomal RNA", at positions 524 to 809 of the family's 1533-position model. The record is from RNAcentral.
UACGUAGGGGCUAGCGUUAUCCGGAAUUACUGGGCGUAAAGGGUGCGUAGGUGGUUUCUUAAGUCAGAGGUGAAAGGCUACGGCUCAACCGUAGUAAGCCUUUGAAACUGGGGAACUUGAGUGCAGGAGAGGAGAGUGGAAUUCCUAGUGUAGCGGUGAAAUGCGUAGAUAUUAGGAGGAACACCAGUUGCGAAGGCGGCUCUCUGGACUGUAACUGACACUGAGGCACGAAAGCGUGGGGAGCAAACAGGAUUAGAUACCCGGUACGUCCUCGAGCGGGCGU